RNAcentral lists this ribosomal RNA (467 nucleotides) under uncultured bacterium. RNAcentral describes it as "bacterial SSU rRNA". It matches the Rfam family "Bacterial small subunit ribosomal RNA", at positions 28 to 509 of the family's 1533-position model. The record is from RNAcentral.
GACGAACGCUGGCGGCGCGCCUAACACAUGCAAGUCGAACGAGCGAGAGAGAGCUUGCUUUCUCAAGCGAGUGGCGAACGGGUGAGUAACGCGUGAGGAACCUGCCUCAAAGAGGGGGACAACAGUUGGAAACGACUGCUAAUACCGCAUAAGCCCACGACCCGGCAUCGGGUAGAGGGAAAAGGAGCAAUCCGCUUUGAGAUGGCCUCGCGUCCGAUUAGCUAGUUGGUGAGGUAAUGGCCCACCAAGGCGACGAUCGGUAGCCGGACUGAGAGGUUGAACGGCCACAUUGGGACUGAGACACGGGCCCAAAACUCCUACGGGAGGCAGCAGUGGGGAAUAUUGGGCAAUGGAGGGAAACUCUGACCCAGCAACGCCGCGUGGAGGAAGAAGGUUUUCGGAUCGUAAACUCCUGUCCUUGGAGACGAGUAGAAGACGGUAUCCAAGGAGGAAAGGCCCCCCGGGAC